Molecule: ribosomal RNA, 874 nt
Filed under: uncultured Methanolobus sp.
Lineage: Archaea; Methanobacteriati; Methanobacteriota; Methanomicrobia; Methanosarcinales; Methanosarcinaceae
Description: bacterial SSU rRNA
Rfam family: Archaeal small subunit ribosomal RNA
Source: RNAcentral
UCCGGUUGAUCCUGCCAGAGGUCACUGCUAUCAGUAUUCGACUAAGCCAUGCGAGUCAAAUGUUCUUCGUGAACAUGGCGUACUGCUCAGUAACACGUGGAUAAUCUGCCCUAAGGUCAGGCAUAACUCCGGGAAACUGGUGAUAAUACCUGAUAUGUCAUAGACACUGGAAUGUUCUGUGAUCAAAAGCUCCGGUGCCUUAGGAUGAAUCUGCGGCCUAUCAGGUUGUAGUGGGUGUAAUGUACCUACUAGCCGACGACGGGUACGGGUUGUGAGAGCAAGAGCCCGGAGAUGGAUUCUGAGACAUGAAUCCAGGCCCUACGGGGCGCAGCAGGCGCGAAAUCUUUACAAUGCGGGGAACCGCGAUAAGGGGAUACUGAGUGCCAGCAUAUUAUGUUGGCUGUCCACCUGUAUAAAUAGCAGGUGUUAGCAAGGGCCGGGCAAGACCGGUGCCAGCCGCCGCGGUAACACCGGCGGCCCGAGUGGUGGCCACUAUUAUUGGGUCUAAAGGGUCCGUAGCCGGUUCGAUCAGUCUUCCGGGAAAUCUGACAGCUCAACUGUUAGGCUUCCGGGGGAUACUGUCGGACUUGGGACCGGGAGAGGUAAGAGGUACUACAGGGGUAGGAGUGAAAUCUUGUAAUCCUUGUGGGACCACCAGUGGCGAAGGCGUCUUACCAGAACGGGUCCGACGGUGAGGGACGAAAGCUGGGGGCACGAACCGGAUUAGAUACCCGGGUAGUCCCAGCUGUAAACGAUGCUCGCUAGGUGUCUGGGACGGUGCGACCGUUUCACGUGCCGCAGGGAAGCCGUGAAGCGAGUCACCUGGGAAGUACGGCCGCAAGGCUGAAACUUAAAGGAAUUGGCGGGGGAGCAC